GCUUACUUAUUCUUAGCUGUUAAAGAUUCAACAUCUUUACAGUGGAGACACCAUUUGCUAACGUAUACCUAUCUAUCAUCUUUUAUUCGACAUCUCUUACCAUGUUAUUAUUCUUUGGUGCUGAAAAGUCGGAUUCCAAUAUCCACCACUUUGUGUUGCUGUCGGGAACCAAUAAUGUUCAUCUUCUUGUCUUAUCUACACGUGUCACAUUCUAAAGAUUUCUAACAAGUGAAAGAUGACUAAUCUGAUCAAACCCACAAAACGUGGUCGUUUAAUUAGCAAAUAAUGCUGAUGAAAAGUCUCCACUUGUUCUCUUCCUCGAUUCUCCACCGAUUUGCUUCUCGCAGCAUGUUUUGUUUUCAAUUAAUUAAAGUUAUAAUUGGUUAAAUAGAUUGUAGAUUCGUUAAUAACCGGUUCUUAACUCAAAAGCAUCUAUCUUUUUCCCAUUUUUCUGGCUUGAUUGGUAUUAGAAUUCGAAAUGGGCCAGUGAACUUAAAUGAGCCAUUGAAUUUUAAGAGACCCAAGUAAGUGAGAUCCUUGCUAGCUGAGUUUCUAUCGGUGUAUUUGAUUAUGGCUAUAAAAGUGAAAGACAUUUUAGAACGAGUUAAACUGAUAUCUCUCAACCAAGGAGGAGCCUACUUCAAUACUCAAGGACAAGAUUCAUCUGUUAUUCUCCGUGUAAAAGAAGAUCAUGAUGGUGCAGGGGCUUCAGGAAGCUCUGUUUCUGCUAUUAACCUUGUGAGAUUAUAGCUUCCACAGUCUCCCGGCAGUCUUCGAGUUGAGGUUAAGAGAUGGCGGUACCGCUGAUUUGCUGCUCUUCAGAUACUAUCUUUGUUCAGUCGAGAAAACAAGUUGUAUUGCUCGGUUCUAAGUCUUCUCUAGCGAUCAACAACAUGCUUUCCGCAGCAUACUCUGUUUAUGAUCUCCAAAGCCGGUCCUAGGCAAAACCGAAUGAAUUUUUUAAAAAAAUUACAUAGACAUAGGUUUCUAAAAUUAUUUAAAAAAAAUAAAAAUUGAAAUCUUUACUAAAUGGCCUAAAGUCUCCCAAAAUCUAUGGGCAAGCCCUGGUCAUCUUAAUAAAACAGUUAGAGGCUUAAACUGAUUCCAGUUUUCAGCUCAACGGGCAGUAAAUUUGUGAUUUUUUUGUGGGUGUUUUUGCUGAGAAGGUGAUUCAAACAGAUCCUUCAUGAGAUGAGAUGGGAUUCUAGGAAGAGUAUAAGAGUAAUGUAGCUGAGAUGGCGAAGGGAAACAAAAACUCCGAGAAAGUUGUGACUCUUGCUUGUCAACACUUCGCUUGUAGUACUGUCUUUGAUUCUUCUUCUCUUACUCGCUUACUCUCCAAGUAAUAAAGAGAUUCCAUGUUUUAAUGGUUGCUUGUGUUGUAAAGAGCAUGAUCAACGUUUUGGUUUCUGUAAAGUUAAUAAAUAAAGGAGGCGUCUUCUGGUAAUGGCAAUGUGGAAACUUAACCGAGUUUUGUAAGUAUGUGAUUUGAUUUGUGAAUAUGGAGUUGCUCAGACAGCCAUCAUUGUUUUGGCAGGUUCAAAACUCAAAAGCAAGCAUGUGACAAAUUCGACCCUUCGUUCUACCCUCUUUUUAAGAAAUGAAGUGCAAGCUCAGUAAUACAAGCUUAUAUAUAUACCCAUAAAGACAUUCAGUGAGCAACAAGGCAUGUCAACAGUUAUCAAGGUGGAGUAUUUUGAAUUCAACUUGGUAAGAUUAGAUAUCUGCUUUGUUUAUAAAAUCUCUUCUGUCUCUUAUAGAAACCUCUCGUGCCACAUAUUUGUUACCAAUAUACUAUUUAUGUUUCGUAAUAUAUGAUGUCUUAAAAUAUAAGAUGUUUUAUAAUUGGUUCAGUCACUUUUUUUUUCAUCUGUUAAAUUCAUUGAUAGACCUAUGAAAGGUCAUAAAGGUGUUACAAAUCCAACCACCAUCUGACAACUAAACCCAGAAACCACAACAGUUCAAGAUUACAUCCCCUCAAAAAAUACUUCAAGACCAAUCUAUACAAACCAUUGAUCUACAGCCAAAAAAACAUUCCAAAAUAAGUUCCUAAAUAAUUGGUUCAAUCACUUUAAUUGAUAUUUUUGAUGCUUUUAGAUAAAAAAUAAUUUUUUUAGUCUUUGUGUUUUAGGCGUAACAUUUUAUAAUUUAAAAUAGAUGGAGUAUAUAUAUUUGUUUAAAGGUGUAUUACCGGGGAUAUAACCAUGCAAAGUUUUUUUUUUUUUGGCUUAGAUAACAUUCAAAGUUCUUAAUAUGUUAUCAAAAUCAAGAAAGUAAAUCUUUGUUCAUUCUAGCUGAAUACUAUUGAUUUUUUCUCGAGUUGUGGAUGCAGAAAUCAUGAGGAAUGGAGACGCUAGUAGAUGCUUGUGUCAGCCCAGAAGAGUGUAUUUUGUUAAUCGUGGUUAUUAUCAUAUUAUGCUCAUUGGCUCUUUGUUAAUUUUGAGUAAAAACCCUUAAAAGGGUAAGAGUCUAAUGAAGAAUGAGACAGUAGACCUAUAAUGAAAAAAAAAAAAAAAUUGGCGUCAUCUCAUCAUGAGUUACUGACUGAAGGAAGGCCAUGACGAUGAUGAUGGAGUGUACAAAACCACUCACGACAGUUAAGAGUAGAUUUGAGUUUAAAGCCCUACCCAAAAUGGAUCACAGUCAAUUGAAGAGUGAGAAAAGUAAUGAAGAGGCCUUUAGUUCUGCGUCAUCUCAUCAUAACUUACUGACAGAGGGAGAUGGAGUAUACUAAUUAGUACCAUCGUGAUGAUGAUACGAUAAAGUUAAACUUUACCAACCUACUGACACAGUUAAAAGGCAUGAGUCUGAGUUAACAAGCCAUUCGGUGCAUGCACGCGCGUUAUUAGAUAAAGCUUAGCCACUUGCUCGGCAAAUGUUCACGAGAACAAACCUUGAUAAGUGAGAUAACAUUUUUCUUUUGUAAACUGAGAUAACAUUGAAUCUGAUGAUAUGAUUUACUAUUUUAUAUGAAUGACAUUUCAAACAUUUUAACCAAUCGUUUAAUGUUCUUAAAUCAUCUUCAGAUUCACCAUACGUCAGUGUCUCAUUUUGUCUUGAUUCAAGAAACGCCCGUGAUUUUCAUUUCAAUUCUCCAUUAGUGUCCAGAAAAAGCAUGUGUUCUCGUUUUCGUUUUCGUUGUCUCGAAUGGCCGACAGGAAGAAAAAACAACUUCGUCCCCGGAUAUACCACACACAUACAAACGUAAAUGUUGUAAUUACACUGGGUUUUUCAAUCUCAUAAAACUAAACCAAUUAAAACCUUAGACCAAAAAAAAAACCAAUUAAAAGUUUAAAACCAAAUAUAACCGAAUAAAUCGAAUGGAUGUUAUUUUAAAAAAACAACAGAAUAUAAAUAUUGUUCAGUGUACGAACUGAUCAAACCAAAUAAUUCGACGAAGUCGAUUAAUUAAAACAUAUUAGUAUAUUUAUAUGUGAAUUUUAUAUAAAAUUAAAAAUAUAUACAUAAUUUAUUUUAUUAAUAUAAUAUUCAUACUUAAAACAUUUAUUUUAAUAUUUUUUAUUUUUUCAUUUUCAUCAAAUUAAAUAAACUAUUUUUGAAAAUUUUAUUGGUAAAUUUUUGUAUAAAAGAUAGUUAUUUAAUAAUAUAAUAAUAUUACUAUUUUCUUACAUUUAUUGUUAAUAGUUAAAGAAAACAGAUAAUAUUUUAUUUAAAAGUUAGAGCACUGGGUGUGAUAUAUAAAAAUCUGAUUUCUAAUCAUAUAAACUAAAAUUUGUUAUAACAGAUAAAUAAAAUUAUGGUUUUUAAUAUAAAACUGAAUAAAUAGAAAUUUUUAGUAUAUAAACCCAAUCAAACUAAAGUAGAUUUUUUGUGUGAUCCAAACUAAAAUAGAUAAUGAUACUAAAAUCGAACAAACAAUACAAUUACGCCCAACUUGACAAUGUCUUAAACUACCACCAAACCAAGGCAAUAUACUUUUUCUUUUCUAUUCAUAAAAUAACGUCACACCUGCCAUAUCUAAUCCAUGUCUGCAAGACAAACAAAAAUUUGAAUUCCCCCAUAAAGGAAGGAAAGAGAGAGCAAGUAAA
This is a long non-coding RNA of Brassica napus (rape), 4049 nucleotides long. RefSeq lists it as uncharacterized. NCBI's taxonomy places the organism in Eukaryota, Viridiplantae, Streptophyta, Magnoliopsida, Brassicales, Brassicaceae. The transcript has 3 exons. The record is from RefSeq and is a predicted model, not a curated record.